UACAGAGGUCCCGAGCGUUGUUCGGAUUUAUUGGGCGUAAAGGGUGCGUAGGUGGCAAAGUAAGUUGGAUGUGAAAUCCUGGGGCUCAACCUCAGAAUUGCAUUCAAUACUGCUUAGCUAGAGAGCUGUAGAGGAGACUGGAAUUUACGGUGUAGCAGUGAAAUGCGUAGAUAUCGUAAGGAACGCCAGUGGCGAAAGCGAGUCUCUGGGCAGCAUCUGACACUGAGGCACGAAGGCCAGGGGGGCAAACGGG
This 253-nucleotide ribosomal RNA is filed under the name uncultured bacterium. RNAcentral describes it as "partial 16S ribosomal RNA". It matches the Rfam family "Bacterial small subunit ribosomal RNA", at positions 524 to 776 of the family's 1533-position model. The record is from RNAcentral.